GGUGAGCGGCGCAAGGGUGAGUAAGGCGACGGUAACCAACCCCACGGUUGGGCAUAGCCGCGGGAAACCGCGGGUAAUUCCCAGCGAUGUUGCGAGGAGGCAUCUCCUUGCAACCAAAGUUCCGGCGCCGUGGGACGGGCCGUCGUGGUAUUAGCUAGUUGGCGGGGUGACGGCCCACCAAGGCUGCGAUGCCUACCGGGCGUGCGAGCGUGGCCCGGCACACUGGGACUGAGACACUGCCCAGACUCCUACGGGAGGCUGCAGUCGAGAAUCUUCGGCAAUGGGCGCAAGCCUGACCGAGCGACGCCGCGUGGAGGACGAAGGCCUUCGGGUUGUAAACUCCUGUCGAGGGGGAGGAAGGGGCAACCUUGACCGAUCCCUGGAGGAAGCACGGGCUAAGUUCGUGCCAGCAGCCGCGGUAAGACGAACCGUGCGAACGUUAUUCGGAAUCACUGGGCUUAAAGCGCGUGUAGGCGGGACGGCACGUCGGUUGCUGAAAUCCCCCGGCUCAACCGGGGAACGGGCAGCGAUACGACCGUCCUGGAGGGGGGUAGGGGGGAGCUGGAACUUCCGGUGGAGCGGUGAAAUGCGUUGAGAUCGGAAGGAACGCCCGUGGCGAAAGCGAGCUCCUGGACCCUUACUGACGCUGAGACGCGAAAGCCAGGGGAGCGAACGGGAUUAGAUACCCCGGUAGUCCUGGCCGUAAACGAUGGGCACUGGGUAGGGGGCUCGCCGAUGGGCUCCCUGCCGCAGGGGAACCGUGAAGUGCCCCGCCUGGGGAGUAUGGUCGCAAGGCUGAAACUC
This 804-nucleotide ribosomal RNA is filed under the name uncultured Planctomycetia bacterium. Its description in RNAcentral is "bacterial SSU rRNA". It matches the Rfam family "Bacterial small subunit ribosomal RNA", at positions 90 to 902 of the family's 1533-position model. The record is from RNAcentral. Lineage: Bacteria; Pseudomonadati; Planctomycetota; Planctomycetia.